RNAcentral lists this ribosomal RNA (556 nucleotides) under uncultured bacterium. Its description in RNAcentral is "bacterial SSU rRNA". It matches the Rfam family "Bacterial small subunit ribosomal RNA", at positions 102 to 674 of the family's 1533-position model. The record is from RNAcentral.
ACGGGUGAGUAACACGUGGGUAACCUGCCUCAUAGAGGGGAAUAGCCUUUCGAAAGGAAGAUUAAUACCGCAUAAGAUUGUAGUAUCGCAUGAUACAGCAAUUAAAGGAGUAAUCCGCUAUGAGAUGGACCCGCGUCGCAUUAGCUAGUUGGUGAGGUAACGGCUCACCAAGGCGACGAUGCGUAGCCGACCUGAGAGGGUGAUCGGCCACAUUGGGACUGAGACACGGCCCAGACUCCUACGGGAGGCAGCAGUGGGGAAUAUUGCACAAUGGGGGAAACCCUGAUGCAGCAACGCCGCGUGAGUGAUGACGGUCUUCGGAUUGUAAAACUCUGUCUUCAGGGACGAUAAUGACGGUACCUGAGGAGGAAGCCACGGCUAACUACGUGCCAGCAGCCGCGGUAAUACGUAGGUGGCAAGCGUUGUCCGGAUUUACUGGGCGUAAAGGGAGCGUAGGUGGAUAUUUAAGUGGGAUGUGAAAUACUCGGGCUUAACCUGGGUGCUGCAUUCCAAACUGGAUAUCUAGAGUGCAGGAGAGGAAAGUAGAAUUCCUAGU